This 437-nucleotide ribosomal RNA is filed under the name uncultured bacterium. RNAcentral describes it as "partial 16S ribosomal RNA". It matches the Rfam family "Bacterial small subunit ribosomal RNA", at positions 28 to 507 of the family's 1533-position model. The record is from RNAcentral.
GAUGAACGCUGGCGGCAUGCUUAACACAUGCAAGCCGGACGGGAAGAGGUGUUGCCAGUGGCGGACGGGGGAGUAACGAGGAAGAAGCUGCCCUGGGGAGGGGAACAACAGAUGGAAAGGGCAGCUAAGACAAAGGAGGGUGAGGAGCAAAAGCAGGAAUCCGCCUGAGGAGGGGCGCGAGACUGAUGAGCGAGUGGGUGAGGCAAUAGCUUACCAAGGCGAUGAACAGUAGCGGGUACGAGAGGACCAUCAGCCACACUCGGACUGGGACACGCCCCAGACUCCCUCGCGCGACAGCAGUGGCCCAUUUUCCGCAAUGCCCGAUUGCCUGACGCAGCACUGCCGCGUGGAGGUAGAAUGCCUACGGGUCGUGGCCUUCUUUUCCCAGAGAAGACGCAAUGGCGGUAUCUGGCGAAUAAGCUUCGGCUAACUCUGUC